RNAcentral lists this unclassified non-coding RNA (299 nucleotides) under plant metagenome. Its description in RNAcentral is "partial contains 5.8S ribosomal RNA, internal transcribed spacer 2, and large subunit ribosomal RNA". The stretch from base 1 to 105 matches the Rfam family "5.8S ribosomal RNA", at positions 50 to 154 of the family's 154-position model. The record is from RNAcentral.
GAAAUGCGAUAAGUAAUGUGAAUUGCAGAAUUCAGUGAAUCAUCGAAUCUUUGAACGCACAUUGCCCUCGCCAGUAUUCUGGCGAGCAUGCCUGUUCGAGCGUCAUUUCAACCAUCAAGCUCUGCUUGCGUUGGGGAUCCGCGGCUGCCCGCGGUCCCUCAAAAACAGUGGCGGGCUCGCUAGUCACACCGAGCGUAGUAACUCUACAUCGCUAUGGUCGUGCGGCGGGUUCUUGCCGUAAAACCCCCAAUUUCUAAGGUUGACCUCGGAUCAGGUAGGAAUACCCGCUGAACUUAAGC